AGUGGAUGGGGAGCAACCUAGUUGUGCGUGUGUAAAGGUAGUGCCAAGAAAAGCGAUGAUCAUGUUGAAAAUCAAUUCCCGGUACCCGAAACCGACACAGGUGGGCAAGUAGAGAAUACUAAGGGGCGCGAGGUAACUCUCUCCAAGGAACUCGGCAAAAUGACCCCGUAACUUAGGGAGAAGGGGUGCCACCGAGAGGUGGUCGCAGUGAAGAGGCCCAGGCGACUGUUUAGCAAAAACAUAGGUCUCUGCAAACUCGAAAGAGGAGGUAUAGGGGCUGACGCCUGCCCAGUGCCGGAAGGUUAAAGAAGUUGGUCAGUUUUAGGAUGAAGCUAGCGACUGAAGCCCCGGUGAACGGCGGCCGUAACUAUAACGGUCCUAAGGUAGCGAAAUUCCUUGUCGGGUAAGUUCCGACCCGCACGAAAGGCGUAACGAUCUGGGCGCUGUCUCGGAGAGAGGCUCGGCGAAAUAGGAUUGUCUGUGAAGAUACGGACUACCUGCAUUUGGACAGAAAGACCCUAUGAAGCUUUACUAUAGCUUGGAAUUGUGUUCGGGCUUCCUGUGCGCAGGAUAGGUGGGAGGCGUAGAAGGUAUUCUUGUGGGGAUACUGGAGCCAACGGUGAGAUACCACUCUCAGGAGGCUAGAAUUCUAACUUAAUUAAGGACAGUUUCAGGUGGAAAUCAGUCGAAGAGUGCAAAGGCAGAAGGGAGCUUGACUGCGAGAAGUACAGUUCGAGCAGGGUGGAAACACGGUCUUAGUGAUCCGACGGUGCUGUGUGGAAGGGCCGUCGCUCAACGGAUAAAAGUUACUCUAGGAUAACAGGCUGAUCUCCCCCAAGAGUUCACAUCGACGGGGAGGUUUGGCACCUCGAUGUCGGCUCAUCGCAACCUGGGGCGGAAGUACGUCCCAAGGGUUGGGCUGUUCGCCCAUUAAAGCGGUACGUGAGCUGGGUUCAGAACGUCGUGAGACAGUUCGGUCCAUAUCCGAUGUAGGCGUGAGAAUAUUGAGAGGAGCCUUCCUUAGUACGAGAGGACCGGGAAGGACGCACCGCUGGUGUACCUGUUAUGAUGCCAAUUGUAAACGCAGGGUAGCCAAGUGCGGAGAGGAUAACCGCUGAAAGCAUCUAAGUGGGAAGCCCACCUCAAGAUGAGUAUUCUGGUGUAAGGUCACGGGAAGACGACCCGUAAAUAGGCACGAGGUGGAAGUGCAGAGAUGUAUGAAGCCGAAGUGUACUAAUAGACCGUCGGCUUGAUC
This 1255-nucleotide ribosomal RNA is filed under the name metagenome. Its description in RNAcentral is "bacterial LSU rRNA". It matches the Rfam family "Bacterial large subunit ribosomal RNA", at positions 1561 to 2925 of the family's 2925-position model. The record is from RNAcentral.